This 254-nucleotide ribosomal RNA is filed under the name uncultured bacterium. RNAcentral's name for it is "partial 16S ribosomal RNA". It matches the Rfam family "Bacterial small subunit ribosomal RNA", at positions 524 to 776 of the family's 1533-position model. The record is from RNAcentral.
UACGGGGGGAGCAAGCGUUGUUCGGAUUUACUGGGCGUAAAGGGCGCGUAGGCGGUCGUGACAAGUCACUUGUGAAAUCUCCGGGCUUAACUCGGAACGGUCAAGUGAUACUGUCGGACUAGAGUACAGAAGGGGCAACUGGAAUUCUCGGUGUAGCGGUGAAAUGCGUAGAUAUCGAGAGGAACACCUGCGGCGAAGGCGGGUUGCUGGGCUGAUACUGACGCUGAGGCGCGAAAGCUAGGGGAGCGAACCGG